UACGUAGGGUGCGAGCGUUGUCCGGAAUUAUUGGGCGUAAAGAGCUCGUAGGCGGUCUGUCGCGUCGGUCGUGAAAACCUGCAGCUUAACUGUGGGCGUGCGGUCGAUACGGGCAUGACUGGAGUUCGGCAGGGGAGACUGGAAUUCCUGGUGUAGCGGUGAAAUGCGCAGAUAUCAGGAGGAACACCGAUGGCGAAGGCAGGUCUCUGGGCCGAUACUGACGCUGAGGAGCGAAAGCGUGGGGAGCGAACAGG
RNAcentral lists this ribosomal RNA (254 nucleotides) under uncultured bacterium. RNAcentral describes it as "partial 16S ribosomal RNA". It matches the Rfam family "Bacterial small subunit ribosomal RNA", at positions 524 to 776 of the family's 1533-position model. The record is from RNAcentral.